Molecule: ribosomal RNA, 1505 nt
Filed under: bacterium
Lineage: Bacteria
Description: bacterial SSU rRNA
Rfam family: Bacterial small subunit ribosomal RNA
Source: RNAcentral
GAACUUGAGAGUUUGAUCCUGGCUCAGAACGAACGCUGGCGGCAGGUCUUAGGCAUGCAAGUCGAACGGGUGAAGCAGAGCUUGCUCUGUGGAUCUAGUGGCGCACGAGUGAGUAACGCGUGGGAAACUGCCCACUACUGGGGAAUAACGUUUGGAAACGAACGCUAAUACCGCAUACGCCGGAAACGGGAAAGAUUUAUCGGUGGUGGAUGUGCCCGCGUUGGAUUAGCUUGUUGGUGGGGUAACGGCCUACCAAGGCGAUGAUCCAUAGCUGGUCUGAGAGGACGAUCAGCCACGCUGGAACUGAGACACGGUCCAGACUCCUACGGGAGGCAGCAGCUAAGAAUAUUGGGCAAUGGAGGAAACUCUGACCCAGCCAUGCCGCGUGAAUGAAGAAGGCCUUCGGGUUGUAAAGUUCUUUUAGUCGUGAAGAUGAUGACAGUAGCGACAGAAAAAGCACCGGCUAACUUCGUGCCAGCAGCCGCGGUAAUACGAAGGGUGCAAGCGUUGUUCGGAUUUACUGGGCGUAAAGCGUCCGUAGGUGGUUUGUUAAGUCAGGGGUGAAAUCCCGGGGCCCAACCCCGGAACUGCCUUUGAUACUGGCAAGCUGGAGCGUGAUAGAGGAAGAUGGAACAUCUGGUGUAGGGGUGAAAUCCGUAGAUAUCAGAUAGAACACCAAUGGCGAAGGCAGUCUUCUGGAUCAUCGCUGACACUGAGGGACGAAAGCGUGGGUAGCAAACAGAAUUAGAUACUCUGGUAGUCCACGCCCUAAACGAUGCAUGCUUGUUGUUGGUUUCCUUCGGGGGAUCAGUGACGUAGCUAACGCGUUAAGCAUGCCGCCUGGGGAGUACGAUCGCAAGAUUAAAACUUAAAGGAAUUGACGGGGACCCGCACAAGCGGUGGAGUAUGUUGUUUAAUUCGAUGCUACGCGAGAAACCUUACCGACCCUUGACAUCUUGGUCGCGACUUCCAGAGAUGGUUGUCUUCAAUUCGGUUGGACCAAAGACAGAUGCUGCAUGGCUGUCGUCAGCUCGUGUCGUGAGAUGUUAGGUUAAGUCCUGCAACGAGCGCAACCCACGCCCUAUGUUGCCAGCGGGUAAUGCCGGGAACUCUUAGGGGACUGCCCGCGUCAAGCGGGAGGAAGGUGUGGAUGACGUCAAGUCAUCAUGGUUCUUACGGGUCGGGCUACAAACGUACUACAAUGGCGUCAACAAUGGGUCGCAAUGCCGCAAGGCAAAGCCAAUCCUUAAAAGACGUCUCAGUUCGGAUUGUCCUCUGCAACUCGAGGGCAUGAAGCUGGAAUCGCUAGUAAUCGCUGAUCAGAAUGCAGCGGUGAAUACGUUCCCGGGUCUUGUACACACCGCCUGUCAAACCAUGAGAGUCGAUUUCACCCGAAGUCGGUAGUUUAACGUAAGAGGACGCCGCCUACGGUGGGGUUGGUGAUUGGGGUUAAGUCAUAACAAGGUAGCAGUACCGGAAGGUGCGGCUGGAUCACCUCCUUUAUA